GAUGAACGCUAGCUACAGGCUUAACACAUGCAAGUCGAGGGACCGGCGCACGGGUGAGUAACACGUAUCCAACCUGCCCUUUACUCGGGGAUAGCCUUUCGAAAGAAAGAUUAAUACCCGAUAUAAAGGAUGGGGAUGCGUUCCAUUAGGUUGUUGGUGAGGUAACGGCUCACCAAGCCUUCGAUGGAUAGGGGUUCUGAGAGGAAGUCCCCCCAGAUCGGAAUUGCGGCCCGGUCCAAAAUGCGACGGGGGGCUGCAGUGAGUAAGAUUGGUCAAUGGGCGCUAGCCUGAACCAGCCAAGUAGCGUGAAGGAUGAAGGCGUAUGGGUGGUAAACUUCUUUUAUAUAAGAAUAUGUAUUAUAUGAAUAAGGAUCGGCUAACUCCGUGCCAGCAGCCGCGGUAAUUC
Molecule: ribosomal RNA, 406 nt
Filed under: uncultured bacterium
Lineage: Bacteria
Description: partial 16S ribosomal RNA
Rfam family: Bacterial small subunit ribosomal RNA
Source: RNAcentral